GGGCCUGUAGCUCAAUUGGUCAGAGCCGACCGCUCAUAACGGUCUGGUUGGGGGUUCAAGUCCCUCCGGGCCUACCA
Molecule: transfer RNA, 77 nt
Filed under: Haematospirillum jordaniae
Lineage: Bacteria; Pseudomonadati; Pseudomonadota; Alphaproteobacteria; Rhodospirillales; Novispirillaceae
Also listed under: 4 other names
Description: tRNA-Met
Rfam family: tRNA
About the family: Transfer RNA (tRNA) molecules are approximately 80 nucleotides in length. Their secondary structure includes four short double-helical elements and three loops (D, anti-codon, and T loops).
Source: RNAcentral